CACGACUACGAGUUUGAUCCUGGCUCAGAACGAACGCUGGCGGCAUGCCUAACACAUGCAAGUCGAACGAAGCCUUCGGGCUUAGUGGCGCACGGGUGCGUAACGCGUGGGAAUCUGCCCCUUGGUUCGGAACAACAGUUAGAAAUGACUGCUAAUACCGGAUAACGACGAAAGUCCAAAGAUUUAUCGCCGAGGGAUGAGCCCGCGUAAGAUUAGGUAGUUGGUGGGGUAAUGGCCUACCAAGCCGACGAUCUUUAGCUGGUCUGAGAGGAUGAUCAGCCACACUGGGACUGAGACACGGCCCAGACUCCUACGGGAGGCAGCAGUGGGGAAUAUUGGACAAUGGGCGAAAGCCUGAUCCAGCAAUGCCGCGUGAGUGAUGAAGGCCUUAGGGUUGUAAAGCUCUUUUACCAGGGAUGAUAAUGACAGUACCUGGAGAAUAAGCUCCGGCUAACUCCGUG
Molecule: ribosomal RNA, 461 nt
Filed under: uncultured bacterium
Lineage: Bacteria
Description: bacterial SSU rRNA
Rfam family: Bacterial small subunit ribosomal RNA
Source: RNAcentral